ACCUUCGGGUCUAGUGGCGCACGGGUGCGUAACGCGUGGGAAUCUGCCCUUGGGUUCGGGAUAACAGUUGGAAACGACUGCUAAUACCGAAUGAUGACUCCGGUCCAAAGAUUUAUCGCCCAGGGAUGAGCCCGCGUCGGAUUAGCUAGUUGGUGAGGUAAAGGCUCACCAAGGCGACGAUCCGUAGCUGGUCUGAGAGGAUGAUCAGCCACACUGGGACUGAGACACGGCCCAGACUCCUACGGGAGGCAGCAGUGGGGAAUAUUGGACAAUGGGCGAAAGCCUGAUCCAGCAAUGCCGCGUGAGUGAUGAAGGCCCUAGGGUUGUAAAGCUCUUUUACCCGGGAUGAUAAUGACAGUACCGGGAGAAUAAGCCCCGGCUAACUCCGUGCCAGCAGCCGCGGUAAUACGGAGGGGGCUAGCGUUGUUCGGAAUUACUGGGCGUAAAGCGCGCGUAGGCGGCUUUGCAAGUUAGAGGUGAAAGCCCGGAGCUUAACUCCGGAACUGCCUUUAAAACUGCAUCGCUAGAAUCAUGGAGAGGUUAGUGGAAUUCCGAGUGUAGAGGUGAAAUUCGCAGAUAUUCGGAAGAACACCAGUGGCGAAGGCGACUAACUGGAC
This 617-nucleotide ribosomal RNA is filed under the name uncultured bacterium. Its description in RNAcentral is "bacterial SSU rRNA". It matches the Rfam family "Bacterial small subunit ribosomal RNA", at positions 82 to 734 of the family's 1533-position model. The record is from RNAcentral.